UGGGGAAUAUUGCGCAAUGGGCGAAAGCCUGACGCAGCGACGCCGCGUGAGGGAAGAAGGCCUUCGGGUCGUAAACCUCUGUCAGGAAGGAAGAACCCCGUGGGAUCUAACAGGUCCUGCGGCUGACGGUACUUCCAAAGGAAGCACCGGCUAACUCCGUGCCAGCAGCCGCGGUAAUACGGAGGGUGCAAGCGUUAAUCGGAAUUACUGGGCGUAAAGCGCACGUAGGCGGCCUUGCAAGUCAGACGUGAAAGCCCACGGCUCAACCGUGGAAUUGCGCUUGAAACUACAAGGCUUGAGUCCGAGAGAGGGUGGCGGAAUUCCGGGUGUAGGAGUGAAAUCCGUAGAUAUCCGGAGGAACACCAGUGGCGAAGGCGGCCACCUGGAUCGGUACUGACGCUGAGGUGCGAAAGCGUGGGGAGCAAACA
This 428-nucleotide ribosomal RNA is filed under the name uncultured prokaryote. RNAcentral's name for it is "bacterial SSU rRNA". It matches the Rfam family "Bacterial small subunit ribosomal RNA", at positions 355 to 774 of the family's 1533-position model. The record is from RNAcentral.